Molecule: ribosomal RNA, 472 nt
Filed under: uncultured bacterium
Lineage: Bacteria
Description: partial 16S ribosomal RNA
Rfam family: Bacterial small subunit ribosomal RNA
Source: RNAcentral
AUAAACGCUGGCGGCGCACAUAAGACAUGCAAGUUGAACGGACUUAAUCGAAAUAUUUAUAUUUUGAAGCGGUUAGUGGCGGACUGGUGAGUAACGCGUAAGGAACCUGCCUAUUAGAGGGGAAUAACAGUGAGAAAUCAUUGCUAAUACCGCAUAUGCCAUAGAUAUCACAUGAUAACAGUGGGAAAGGAGCAAUCCGCUAAUAGAUGGCCUUGCGUCUGAUUAGAUAGUUGGUGGGGUAACGGCCUACCAAGUCGACGAUCAGUAGCCGGACUGAGAGGUUGAACGGCCACAUUGGGACUGAGAUACGGCCCAGACUCCUACGGGAGGCAGCAGUCGGGAAUAUUGCGCAAUGGAGGAAACUCUGACGCAGUGACGCCGCGUAUAGGAAGAAGGUUUUCGGAUUGUAAACUAUUGUCGUUAGGGAAGAGAAAGGACAGUACUUAAGGAGGAAGCUCCGGCUAACUACGUG